UACGGGGGGGGCAAGCGUUGUUCGGAAUUACUGGGCGUAAAGGGCGCGUAGGCGGCCUGCUAAGUCGGAUGUGAAAUCCCUCGGCUCAACCGAGGAACUGCAUCCGAUACUGGCGGGCUUGAAUCCGGGAGAGGGAUGUGGAAUUCCAGGUGUAGCGGUGGAAUGCGCAGAUAUCAGGAGGAACACCGAUGGCGAAGGCAGGUCUCUGGGCCACUACUGACGCUGAGAAGCGAAAGCAUGGGGAGCGAACAGG
RNAcentral lists this ribosomal RNA (253 nucleotides) under uncultured bacterium. RNAcentral's name for it is "partial 16S ribosomal RNA". It matches the Rfam family "Bacterial small subunit ribosomal RNA", at positions 524 to 776 of the family's 1533-position model. The record is from RNAcentral.